AGGAGAAUGGAAUUUUGGUUCUCACGAGGACUUUAAUUCCAUUAUUCCAACCGAAGAAGAAGAACAAAGAUCUACAGCAGAGGAUGCCCAGCGAGAACUACUCCACCUACCUCGCCAAUAGCAGUUCAAAAUGACUCGCCACCAUUGUUUCUGAAUGAAAGGAGCAAGGAACGCGCAAGGAGUUUGGAAGACAUUUAUGAAGACAAUGAAAGGUUAGAGGACCUAACUCUUCUUUGUCUAUUUGCUGAUUGUGAACCAGUUACCUUUGAAGAAGCCGUACAAAGUAAGAAAUGGCGAGAUGCAAUGNNNNNN
This 312-nucleotide long non-coding RNA is filed under the name Nicotiana benthamiana. RNAcentral's name for it is "long non-coding RNA (NBEN_LNC019193)". Lineage: Eukaryota; Viridiplantae; Streptophyta; Magnoliopsida; Solanales; Solanaceae. The record is from RNAcentral.